RNAcentral lists this ribosomal RNA (478 nucleotides) under uncultured bacterium. RNAcentral's name for it is "partial 16S ribosomal RNA". It matches the Rfam family "Bacterial small subunit ribosomal RNA", at positions 28 to 523 of the family's 1533-position model. The record is from RNAcentral.
GACGAACGCUGGCGGCGUGCUUAACACAUGCAAGUCGAACGGUAAGGCCCUUCGGGGCACACGAGCGGCGAACGGGUGAGUAACACGUGGGUGAUCUGCCCUGCACUUCGGGAUAAGCCUGGGAAACUGGGUCUAAUACCGGAUAGGACUCCUGGCUUCAUGGUUGGGGGUGGAAAGCUUUUGCGGUGGGGGAUGGGCCCGCGGCCUAUCAGCUUGCUGGUGGGGUAAUGGCCUACCAAGGCGACGACGGGUAGCCGGCCUGAGAGGGUGACCGGUCACACUGGGACUGAGAUACGGCCCAGACUCCUACGGGAGGCAGCAGUGGGGAAUAUUGCACAAUGGGCGCAAGCCUGAUGCAGCGACGCCGCGUGAGGGAUGACGGCCUUCGGGUUGUAAACCUCUUUCAGCUAUGACGAAGCGCAAGUGACGGUAGUAGCAGAAGAAGGACCGGCCAACUACGUGCCAGCCGCCGCCGUAA